Molecule: long non-coding RNA, 2028 nt
Organism: Mus musculus (house mouse)
Lineage: Eukaryota; Metazoa; Chordata; Mammalia; Rodentia; Muridae
Product: predicted gene, 35074
Exons: 3
Source: RefSeq, a predicted model, not a curated record
CACAGAGGUUGGGGACAGUCCUGAUCCCCUGGUGGCUGCCAGAAUGUAGACUCUAGCCCCACUGUGAUUCAAACUUGACCUUACAGUGGCCCCACUGAUGUGCUGGCGAUGGAACAAUGGUCUCUCUUGCCCCAAAGGGCACUAAGGAUCAUGAGCUGCACAUGGCAUGAAGGAGCUUCAGGAGGGAGCAUGGUCAUGUGACCUUCCCUCACCCUCAAAGAAAGGGCAGGGGCUGUGAGAAGGAGCAGCAUGUGCCAGAAAGUUGCAAAGGGGCUUGAGCUGGGACUUCCUCCAUGCAAGGACCCCAACUGCUAUGGCUUCUCUACCUGUGCCUUUCCUAAAGUCAUCACGGCUGUAACACCAUCCCUUCUCCUGCUUUCUGAAAAUACCAUAUCCAUUCCUCAGGACCUAGCUCAAAUGUCGCCUUCUCUCUGGACAUGGGAACCUGAAAUGAACUCCCCAUCAGCUACACUGUCCCUGCUGCCUUGUCAUGUUCGAUAGAAGGACAAGAACCAAUGCUGUGCUGAAAGGAAUGUGACAUCAGGUACUACAGGGGACGAGGAGGGUAAGACAGACCGCCGUGCUCACGAGCCACACACCGUCUUCAGGCUCAGUACCGGGAAAGCAAAGAGGCACUCAAACUAAAAACCACAAGUAGCUACACUGUGUUCAUGACAGUAAAGCCAUUUAGAUGACUACUCGCUAAUAAGACAUUUCUUAAACUACUGUCGCUUUUUAUUUUAUUACAUUUAUUAUGUGUGUGCACACAUGCACUUGUACCAUGGUACAUGUGUAGAGGGCAGUUUGUAGGAGUCAGUUUUUCCUUCUACUAGGUGGGUAUCUGGAGGCCUUUACCUACUGAGCCAUCUCCUGGGCCCUCAUUCUGUCAUAUUUAAGAUAUGUAGCAUUACUUUUGUUUUAUAGGGGGAAAAAAAACCUGAGGUUCACCACGACUAAGAAUCUGCUCAAAGCAGGCUCUGCACCUUGCCUGGGCAGCAGGCUAGAGAUGGCCCUGGUGGCUGGGGUUUUGGGUGAGCCAGCCCUGAGAGCAGGAGACCUGCAGGGCUGACCAUCUCAGAUGCCUCUCAGACCCAGAUCCAGAGCUUUGGAUUGGCCCACCCCCACAUCUAUCCCAUCGAUGAACUGGAGUAUACGAAGGACCCAGGUUUAUAGAUUCACAACUACACGAUCUCCACGACACAGGGCAAAACCAGGAUGUCCAGGAGUCCCAGUAAGGAUCCAGCAUUGAUAGAGUAGCAGAAGCCAGAGGCCUCUGCAAGCAAAGAAGUGUGGACAAAAGGGUAUACUGUAGAACACACUGACACACUAUAGUUACCAUGAGACAUUUUUUUCCUCUGUUGGGGGAGAGGUUGCAAGGGACGGGUCUGAGGGGUGAAAGGAGAGGGAAAUGAGUGGAAUGGAUUGGGGGACAUGAUGUGAAAAUCACAAAGAACCAAAGAAAAGUUGAAAAAAAAAUCUGCUCAAAGCCAGGUGGUGGUUGUACUGGCUAGUUUUGUGUCAACUUGACACAGGCUGGAGUUAUCACAGAGAAAUGAGCUUCAGUUGGGGAAAUGCCUCCAUGAGAUCCAGCUGUAAGGCAUUUUCUCAAUUAGUGAUCAAGGGGGGAGUAUAUUUCUUAUAAAAUACCUUAUGGGUAUUUUAUAAGAAAGCAGGCUGAGCAAGCCAGGGGAAGCAAGCCAGUAAAGAACAUCCCUCCAUGGCCUCUGCAUCAGCUCCUGCUUCCUGACUUGCUUGAGUUCCAGUCCUGACUUCCUUGGUGAUGAACAGCAGUGUGGAAGUGUAAGCCAAAUAAACCCUUUCCUCCCCAACUUGCUUCUUGAUCAUGAUGUUUGUGCAGGAAUAGAAACACUGACUAAGACAGUGGUUUAAGUCUUUAAUCCCAGUACUUGGGAGGCAGAGGCAGGGGAAUUUCUGAAUUCAAAGUCAGUCUGCUCUAUAAAUCGAGUUCCAGGACAGCCAGGGCUACACAGAGACACAGAGAUACACUAUCUCAAAAUCCCAAAAAAA